CGGCCCAGACUCCUACGGGAGGCAGCAGUGGGGAAUAUUGCACAAUGGGYGAAAGCCUGAUGCAGCGACGCCGCGUGAGGGAUGACGGCCUUCGGGUUGUAAACCUCUUUCAGUAGGGAAGAAGCGAAAGUGACGGUACCUGCAGAAGAAGCGCCGGCUAACUACGUGCCAGCAGCCGCGGUAAUACGUAGGGCGCAAGCGUUAUCCGGAAUUAUUGGGCGUAAAGAGCUCGUAGGCGGUUUGUCGCGUCUGCCGUGAAAGUCCGGGGCUCAACUCCGGAUCUGCGGUGGGUACGGGCAGACUAGAGUGAUGUAGGGGAGACUGGAAUUCCUGGUGUAGCGGUGAAAUGCGCAGAUAUCAGGAGGAACACCGAUGGCGAAGGCAGGUCUCUGGGCAUUAACUGACGCUGAGGAGCGAAAGCAUGGGGAGCGAACAGGAUUAGAUACCCUGGUAGUCCAUGCCGUAAACGUUGGGCACUAGGUGUGGGGGACAUUCCACGUUUUCCGCGCCGUAGCUAACGCAUUAAGUGCCCCGCCUGGGGAGUACGGCCGCAAGGCUAAAACUCAAAGGAAUUGACGGGGGCCCGCACAAGCGGCGGAGCAUGCGGAUUAAUUCGAUGCAACGCGAAGAACCUUACCAAGGCUUGACAUGGACUGGAAAUACCUGGAAACAGGUGCCCCGCUUGCGGUCGGUUCACAGGUGGUGCAUGGUUUGUCGUCAGCUCGUGUCGUGAGAUGUUGGGUUAAGUCCCGCAACGAGCGCAACCCUCGUUCUAUGUUGCCAGCGCGUAAUGGCGGGGACUCAUAGGAGACUGCCGGGGUCAACUCGGAGGAAGGUGGGGACGACGUCAAAUCAUCAUGCCCCUUAUGUCUUGGGCUUCACGCAUGCUACAAUGGCCGGUACAAAGGGUUGCGAUACUGUGAGGUGGAGCUAAUCCCAAAAAGCCGGUCUCAGUUCGGAUUGGGGUCUGCAACUCGACCCCAUGAAGUCGGAGUCGCUAGUAAUCGCAGAUCAGCAACGCUGCGGUGAAUACGUUCCCGGGCCUUGUACACACCGCCCGUCAAGUCACGAAAGUUGGUAACACCCG
RNAcentral lists this ribosomal RNA (1087 nucleotides) under Arthrobacter sp. KFC-21. RNAcentral describes it as "bacterial SSU rRNA". It matches the Rfam family "Bacterial small subunit ribosomal RNA", at positions 327 to 1423 of the family's 1533-position model. Lineage: Bacteria; Bacillati; Actinomycetota; Actinomycetes; Micrococcales; Micrococcaceae. The record is from RNAcentral.